RNAcentral lists this transfer RNA (85 nucleotides) under Felis catus (domestic cat). It matches the Rfam family "tRNA". Rfam says of the family: Transfer RNA (tRNA) molecules are approximately 80 nucleotides in length. Lineage: Eukaryota; Metazoa; Chordata; Mammalia; Carnivora; Felidae. RNAcentral also lists the same sequence under 2 other names. The record is from Rfam by way of RNAcentral.
GCCUGGGUGGCUCAGUCGGUUGAGUGUCUGACUUCGGCUCAGGUCAUGAUCUCGCGGUCUGUGAGUUCGAGCCCCGUGUCAGGCU